This 484-nucleotide ribosomal RNA is filed under the name uncultured bacterium. RNAcentral's name for it is "partial 16S ribosomal RNA". It matches the Rfam family "Bacterial small subunit ribosomal RNA", at positions 30 to 507 of the family's 1533-position model. The record is from RNAcentral.
AUUGAACGCUGGCGGCAGGCCUAACACAUGCCAGUCGAGCGGAUGAAGGGAGCUUGCUCCUGGAUUCAGCGGUGGACGGGUGAGUAAUGCCUAGGAAUCUGCCUGGUAGUGGGGGAUAACGUCCGGAAACGGGCGCUAAUACCGCAUACGUCCUGAGGGAGAAAGUGGGGGAUCUUCGGACCUCACGCUAUCAGAUGAGCCUAGGUCGGAUUAGCUAGUUGGUGGGGUAAAGGCCUACCAAGGCGACGAUCCGUAACUGGUCUGAGAGGAUGAUCAGUCACACUGGAACUGAGACACGGUCCAGACUCCUACGGGAGGCAGCAGUGGGGAAUAUUGGACAAUGGGCGAAAGCCUGAUCCAGCCAUGCCGCGUGUGUGAAGAAGGUCUUCGGAUUGUAAAGCACUUUAAGUUGGGAGGAAGGGCAGUAAGUUAAUACCUUGCUGUUUUGACGUUACCAACAGAAUAAGCACCGGCUAACUUCGUG